RNAcentral lists this ribosomal RNA (186 nucleotides) under uncultured bacterium. RNAcentral describes it as "partial 16S ribosomal RNA". It matches the Rfam family "Bacterial small subunit ribosomal RNA", at positions 1315 to 1500 of the family's 1533-position model. The record is from RNAcentral.
CCUGCAUGAAGCUGGAAUUGCUAGUAAUCGCGGAUCAGCAAGCCGCGGUGAAUACGUUCCCGGGCCUUGUACACACCGCCCGUCACACCAUGAGAGUCGGGAACACCCGAAGUCCGUAGUCUAACCGCAAGGGGGGCGCGGCCGAAGGUGGGUCCGGUAAUUGGGGUGAAGUCGUAACAAGGUAAC